Molecule: ribosomal RNA, 434 nt
Filed under: Corynebacterium matruchotii
Lineage: Bacteria; Bacillati; Actinomycetota; Actinomycetes; Mycobacteriales; Corynebacteriaceae
Description: bacterial SSU rRNA
Rfam family: Bacterial small subunit ribosomal RNA
Source: RNAcentral
GACGAACGCUGGCGGCGUGCUUAACACAUGCAAGUCGAACGGAAAGGCCCUCACCUUGGUGGGGGUGCUCGAGUGGCGAACGGGUGAGUAACACGUGGGUGAUCUGCCCUGCACUUCGGGAUAAGCUUGGGAAACUGGGUCUAAUACCGGAUAGGACCAUGGUUUAGUGUCUCAUGGUGGAAAGAUUAUUGUUUUGGUGCAGGAUGAGCUCGCGGCCUAUCAGCUUGUUGGUGGGGUAAUGGCCUACCAAGGCGUCGACGGGUAGCCGGCCUGAGAGGGUGGACGGCCACAUUGGGACUGAGAUACGGCCCAGACUCCUACGGGAGGCAGCAGUGGGGAAUAUUGCACAAUGGGCGCAAGCCUGAUGCAGCGACGCCGCGCGGGGGAUGACAGCCUUCGGGUUGUAAACUCCUUUCGUUAGGGACGAAGCCACA